UACGUAGGGGGCGAGCGUUAUCCAGAUUUACUGGGCGUAAAGCGCGUGUAGGCGGCUGGUUAGGUGUGAUGUGAAAUCCUCGGGCUCAACCCGAGAACUGCAUUGCAAACCGGCCUGGCUAGAGUGCAGGAGAGGGAAGCGGAAUUCCAGGUGUAGCGGUGAAAUGCGUAGAUAUCUGGAGGAACACCUGUGGCGAAAGCGGCGCACUGGACCACAACUGACGCUGAGGCGCGAAAGCUAGGGGAGCAAACAGG
RNAcentral lists this ribosomal RNA (254 nucleotides) under uncultured bacterium. RNAcentral describes it as "partial 16S ribosomal RNA". It matches the Rfam family "Bacterial small subunit ribosomal RNA", at positions 524 to 776 of the family's 1533-position model. The record is from RNAcentral.